AACCCACUGAACUUUCAACACAUGGGAACCUGGGAAGCAGGGAAUUGGAACAGGGGAAGGGAAGGGAAAGAUUGAUGAUGAUGAGUGAAUGGCCGGAGCAACACGGUGGCGGCCUAGUGGUGGCGUUAGGGUAGCGGCAGUGGCGAAAGGUGGGUGCACAGUAAAACAGGGUCUUGCCUUGUUCUUGGUUUCUCAGACAGCGAAGAGGGAGAUGGAAUAAGAAGGUUGCGGCGACGCUAGCGACGGUGGAACGCUGGGCCAUCGCGGUCAGGAAGAGCUAGUGGCUCUGGGCUCACGGAGAAAGGGGUGGUGGUUGCGGCGGCGUAAUGAUUUUGGUAGUGAUUUUGCGGCGACGACGCUAGCGCGUAAUGGAGACGACGACGUAGAAGAAGAAAAACAGGCAGUAAGUAAAGGCAAAGAACUACAGUGCAGCACCCUUUUGCAUACAAGAGCUUAAUGUCUCAAGAGCUUCUAAUGGACUGUCACAGUCUAACAUUCUCCAUCAACGAAUAAGGGGAAUCAAUAUACACCACUAUU
Molecule: non-coding RNA, 537 nt
Organism: Arachis ipaensis
Lineage: Eukaryota; Viridiplantae; Streptophyta; Magnoliopsida; Fabales; Fabaceae
Source: RefSeq, a predicted model, not a curated record